This 74-nucleotide transfer RNA is filed under the name Actinomycetota bacterium. RNAcentral's name for it is "tRNA-Leu". It matches the Rfam family "tRNA". Rfam says of the family: Transfer RNA (tRNA) molecules are approximately 80 nucleotides in length. Their secondary structure includes four short double-helical elements and three loops (D, anti-codon, and T loops). The record is from RNAcentral. Lineage: Bacteria; Bacillati; Actinomycetota.
GCCCCGGUAGGCCAAUCGGCAGAGCCACGCGCCUCAAGAGCGUGUCAGUGUGGGUUCGAAUCCCACCCGGGGUA